Molecule: long non-coding RNA, 394 nt
Filed under: Bos indicus x Bos taurus (hybrid cattle)
Lineage: Eukaryota; Metazoa; Chordata; Mammalia; Artiodactyla; Bovidae
Description: lncRNA (ENSBIXG00005030152.1)
Source: RNAcentral
GUUAGUGGCUGGAGGGUGUGGGAGCUUGAUGCCUGGGGGCUUGAUUGGUGUUGGAUCUCCAUGCAAGACCCCACGGAGGUGUGCACUUUGGGGCUACACUGCUCUGCACGGGAUGGAGGUGAGGAUCCACCCCCGGAGAGCGCCAAGGACGUGGGAAAGCCUCAGCAAGGGCACACAGCAGUCCGAGCCCUCCGCAGAGGCCCCGAGGAGGGGCGGGCGUCAGUCUGCGGGACCUCAUCACAAGAUCUGAGUGGUGGUCAGCUUCUGCAGCAGGGAGGGCAGUCAGGAAAUCUGCCUGCUUGGGGUGAGAGAGCAAAAGCUGUCCCGGGCAGACCUUUCCUAUCUCUCCAUCUUUCUGAAAGGGAGCGUUGGCCGCACUGUUGCUGUUUAAUUA